UCGAAUAAACAAAACAGAUUAAUAACAUGUGACGAAACAAGUGGUGUGCCAGUAAGUGACUUAGAUUACAGUUAUCAUUAUCAUAGAGUUAUGGCUGUGGCGGUGAGAAUAUUCAUGCCGUUAGAGAAGAAGAAACAUAUUCGGUUUAGGAAGAUGAGAAAAUAAAUCAGUGGAGAGUGGGCAGACAUGUAGUUGAGCUUGGGGGUCCUUGCGGAUGGUCUAAGCAGUUGUCAGUUAUGCGGACAGCCACUGCAAUUGUUAAAUUGUGUAGUGGAAAACAAAAUGCGGCCUUGCACAUGUGGCCCUACUACUUGUCAAGUGCAAAUUUACAGACUGUGGGCUAGUACUGAAGUGGCAACAGGAAGCAAACACCAGACUUCAAAUGGCAGAAAUGCAUGGGAUGUAAAUACCAAACUAGCAGCAGGAAUAAUAAAUGGAGGAUUUGCCGAUUUGGUGAAACACAUGUAAAUUCACUUCUGGCUGCUUGAAACAUACCAAGCGUUUCUCAGAUAACUCUGAAGAAUAGAGGAAGAGAGGUCGGGAAACAAUUUGGACAAAUGGCAGGGGAAACUUGUAAUGAAAGUCUGCAGGAGGAGAUGAGAUUGAGUGAAGGGAGUCUGGCGAUUAUAUCUGAUGGUGCUUGGCAGAAGCGGGAAACCGGGAGAGCUUAUAAUAGUUUUACAGGUAAAUGUACCAAGUAUCAAAACCUAUACAUUGUAG
This is a long non-coding RNA of Saccostrea cuccullata (small rock oyster), 720 nucleotides long. RefSeq lists it as uncharacterized. The transcript has 3 exons. The record is from RefSeq and is a predicted model, not a curated record. Lineage: Eukaryota; Metazoa; Mollusca; Bivalvia; Ostreida; Ostreidae.